RNAcentral lists this long non-coding RNA (531 nucleotides) under Canis lupus familiaris (dog). RNAcentral's name for it is "lncRNA (ENSCAFG00000055610.1)". The record is from RNAcentral. Lineage: Eukaryota; Metazoa; Chordata; Mammalia; Carnivora; Canidae.
UAUCCCCAGGACAGUUGUAUCCCCUGCCUAUUCCCGUGCGCGACUCACGCCCACACACCUUAGGACGGUGUCCACCCUCCCGCGUCCCUGGGGUUUCCGGUUCCGUGUCUGAGGGGCUGGCGCGGAGUUGGUUGCCUUAGCAACGGAAGGUCGGGCCCCCGCUCUUCGGGGCUGCCUCGUGCCUGAUCAGGUCUUCGUUCCAAGGAUCAUCCAGCAGUUUUCCCUCCACUCGGAGUUCCCAGGAAGCCACCUUGUCCCCUGCAGGGGUUCCCCCAGGGGGCCCCGCGGUGCCCGCAGUAUCGCCUUCUGCCUUGCUGGGACUGAACGUAUUGGAAGUAUAGAUGCGCAGCUUCCGUUUUUGCGUCAGAGGCUUUUUGAUGGCCAGAGAAUGGAUUUAAACGUGAGUCUGACUAGAGCCUGACCACUUAACCAUAUUGCUUGUUUUUUUUUUUUUUAAGUUUAAGCAAUAUUCUUUUACUAUAUAUAUUUACUGAUCUAAUACUAACAUUAACACACUGUAUUCACUGUAUU